Long non-coding RNA from Poecilia latipinna (sailfin molly), 799 nucleotides. RefSeq lists it as uncharacterized. NCBI's taxonomy places the organism in Eukaryota, Metazoa, Chordata, Actinopteri, Cyprinodontiformes, Poeciliidae. The transcript has 3 exons. The record is from RefSeq and is a predicted model, not a curated record.
AAAAGCGGAAUAAGUUUCAGGAUUUACUUUAGAAGUCAUUGUCGGAUCUACAGAGAACCUGGGAAGGAAAUAACACAUUCUUCCCUCUACAGGGGAAAGUGUUGGGAAAACGCUGAGCUAACUGGGUGACUCCUCCCACUCUGUGUUAGGCAACUGGUUGAGAGGAAGUUCGCCCAGCUAUAAACAGUCCUGCAUUUCCUCUGAUCAACAUAAAGAGCUUUGCUCUGUUCAGAGGUGUGUUUACAACCCCGCGGCGGACAUUUUGAUAGGACAGACCCUCCACAUCAGCUGCAAUCAGAUGGAGAAAGCUUAAGGUUCACAGCAUUGUUUGGCAGGAUCCAGUGCAACGGCAGCAAAGAACAGAGCAGAGCAGAUCAAACCAGGUUGGGCUUUCAGAACCGGCCUCUACUCUGUUAUCACCAGCAUCACUGAUUAUUCACCUUUACACACCAAUAGCCCUCUAAACCCACUCGGCUGUCUUUGCCUGAGGAAAGCUUAAACCCAGCUCACACAAAGGAUGUUGGUUUGUAUUGUUUCCCUCAUUGUUGAGCCGUAAACGCCCAUUUCUCUCAGCCCCCCCGUCCUGACAACAUCUGACUGCUUGAAAUCAGAUCUUUUGUUGUCUCCCAGGAGGCUUCGCUCUCAUGGGAAUAUGAGGUGGCUGCUGACAACAAACAAGUCCUCCAACUUUUAGCUAAACAUCUGCAAACAGAGCUGGGUAGCAACUAGUUACAUCUACUUGACUAACUUUUUAAAAAAUUUACUUUAAUGAGUAUUUUUACUACUCUGUACUUUUUAC